GGGCGAUUAGCUCAGAGGAAGAGCGCCGCGUUUACAUCGCGGAUGCGGGGGUUCGAGUCCCUCAUCGCCCA
RNAcentral lists this transfer RNA (71 nucleotides) under bacterium. RNAcentral's name for it is "tRNA-Val". It matches the Rfam family "tRNA". From Rfam's summary of the family: Transfer RNA (tRNA) molecules are approximately 80 nucleotides in length. Their secondary structure includes four short double-helical elements and three loops (D, anti-codon, and T loops). The record is from RNAcentral.